AUAGCUUCUAAACAUUUACAUACUAGUUUCAGUUCAGUUCUUCAACUUAAUUUUAACUUGUAUAUAAUGUUGGCUUAAAUGGGCCAGCAUCCUGCCCUGUGGCGAGAGGCCAUGUGGGCCGAGUCAUGUUCGAAAUGGCGCGAGGCUGGAUUGGGCCGAGUCAUGUUCGAAGUGGCGUGAGGCCAGGUGGGUCGAGUCACAAUCGAGACCCGUGAGCGCUGUUUCUGUACGCUUUAAGUGAAUUGGUUGCGUAUUUCUAACAGCUAGAGCUUUUGGAAUUAAUGGUUAGCACCAACGAUCCGACACAUAAAACACCCCAACUUAAGAACUUGUACAAGUUAUUCCUAGUGCAAGUGUCAACAGACUUAAUAUAUAGUUAGUACCCGAGAUUUCAAGUUCGAAGUUUAAUUUUUUUCUACAAUUCUAGCUAAGUUCAAAGUUUAACCGUUUCACAUUUCUAUUUAAGUUUACUAAUUUCAAACUAGAUAUAGUAUGCUACUUUUCUUUCUCUUCCUAAAAAAAAAAAAGAAAAAAGAAAAAAGAAAAAAGAAAAAAGAAAGAAGGUGAAUAAUG
Molecule: long non-coding RNA, 573 nt
Filed under: Ananas comosus (pineapple)
Lineage: Eukaryota; Viridiplantae; Streptophyta; Magnoliopsida; Poales; Bromeliaceae
Description: long non-coding RNA (ACOM_LNC005019)
Source: RNAcentral